This 468-nucleotide ribosomal RNA is filed under the name uncultured bacterium. Its description in RNAcentral is "partial 16S ribosomal RNA". It matches the Rfam family "Bacterial small subunit ribosomal RNA", at positions 28 to 507 of the family's 1533-position model. The record is from RNAcentral.
GACGAACGCUGGCGGCGUGCUUAACACAUGCAAGUCGAACGGAAAGGCCCUGCUUUUGUGGGGUGCUCGAGUGGCGAACGGGUGAGUAACACGUGAGUAACCUGCCCUUGACUUUGGGAUAACUUCAGGAAACUGGGGCUAAUACCGGCUAGGAGCUCCUGCUGCAUGGUGGGGGUUGGAAAGUUUCGGCGGUUGGGGAUGGACUCGCGGCUUAUCAGCUUGUUGGUGGGGUAGUGGCUUACCAAGGCUUUGACGGGUAGCCGGCCUGAGAGGGGGACCGGCCACAUUAGGACUGAGAUACGGCCCAGACUCGUAUGGGAGGCAGCGGUGGGGAAUAUUGCACAGUGGGCGGGAGCCAGGUGCGACAACGCCGCGUUGGGGAAGACGGCCUGCGGGUUGGGAACCGCUUUCGGCUGUGACGAAGCGUGAGUGACGGUAAUGGGAAAAGAAGCACCGGCUAACUACGUG